UACGGGGGGGGCAAGCGUUGUUCGGAAUUACUGGGCGUAAAGGGCUCGUAGGCGGCUAACUAAGUCAGAUGUGAAAUCCCUCGGCUUAACCGGGGAACUGCGUCUGAUACUGGAUGGCUUGAGGUUGGGAGAGGGAUGCGGAAUUCCAGGUGUAGCGGUGAAAUGCGUAGAUAUCUGGAGGAACACCGGUGGCGAAGGCGGCAUCCUGGACCAAUUCUGACGCUGAGGAGCGAAAGCCAGGGGAGCAAACGGG
RNAcentral lists this ribosomal RNA (253 nucleotides) under uncultured bacterium. RNAcentral's name for it is "partial 16S ribosomal RNA". It matches the Rfam family "Bacterial small subunit ribosomal RNA", at positions 524 to 776 of the family's 1533-position model. The record is from RNAcentral.